ACUCCUACGGGAGGCAGCAGUGAGGAAUAUUGGUCAAUGGGCGCAAGCCUGAACCAGCCAUGCCGCGUGCAGGAUGACGGUCCUAUGGAUUGUAAACUGCUUUUGUACGGGAAGAAACACUCCGACGUGUCGGAGCUUGACGGUACCGUAAGAAUAAGGAUCGGCUAACUCCGUGCCAGCAGCCGCGGUAAU
Molecule: ribosomal RNA, 192 nt
Filed under: uncultured bacterium
Lineage: Bacteria
Description: partial 16S ribosomal RNA
Rfam family: Bacterial small subunit ribosomal RNA
Source: RNAcentral